AUUGAACGCUGGCGGCAUGCCUUACACAUGCAAGUCGAACGGCAGCAUGGGAGCAAUCCUGGUGGCGAGUGGCGAACGGGUGAGUAAUAUAUCGGAACGUGCCCAGUCGUGGGGGAUAACGUAGCGAAAGCUACGCUAAUACCGCAUACGAUCUAUGGAUGAAAGCGGGGGAUCGCAAGACCUCGCGCGAUUGGAGCGGCCGAUAUCAGAUUAGGUAGUUGGUGAGGUAAAGGCUCACCAAGCCGACGAUCUGUAGCUGGUCUGAGAGGACGACCAGCCACACUGGGACUGAGACACGGCCCAGACUCCUACGGGAGGCAGCAGUGGGGAAUUUUUGGACAAAUGGGCGCAAGCCUGAUCCAGCAAAUGCCGCGUGCAGGAUGAAGGCCUCGG
Molecule: ribosomal RNA, 393 nt
Filed under: uncultured bacterium
Lineage: Bacteria
Description: bacterial SSU rRNA
Rfam family: Bacterial small subunit ribosomal RNA
Source: RNAcentral